CUUAAUGAAGAAUUUUGAACAAACACUUAGUAUGCAUAAUUUUGACACACUAAACCACUAAUAAUAGCAGUAGCCAUGUCACCAGCAUUGUAAAAAGAAAUAAAGAGCAAGGCUUAGCAUAUUCAUUGAUAUCAAGCUCAAACCAAGCGCAACAUCAUCAUCAAUUAUUCCAACCUCAAGCAUUGCUUCCACAGACAUUUCGUCAAACACUUUUGGAGGAUAUUUAAAUCGACUACAUUCCCAUUAGAGAGGUUCCAAGGAAGAGAGCAACAAAACGUUAUGAUAUGAAAAACUUCUAGCAAUCCUCACAAAAUCAGAUUAAUCAAUUGAAGCACUUGGAUCUAGAAGCCCUAAAUUUGCACCAAAUCAAAGUACAAAGAAUAAUUUUUUAGAGUCGUGGAUCUCAAUAAAAACCACAAUGACAAUGGAUGAAACAAAAAAUUCAAAUAAAAAAAUCCUUCCUAAGUCAAUGCCAAUCACUUUGACAAAAUCAGAUUUCAUUUCUCUGCUCUCAAUUCCACCGUAACAAUUCGACAAUGAAGCUUCCUGUGAGCACAUCCUAAUUUGAACAAAUGAUUUUGACUUUGGACAUCUAACAGAAGCCAUAAUCGCACUAACGAAGAUGACGAUAAUAUCGACACCAAACUUGAUUUGAAGUAAAUGAGAAUAACAAAACAAAAGUUAUCUCAAGAAAAAAAUUUUAAAAAAAGGAGAGAUCAAAUCGAAAAACAGAAAAUGAAAAGUGG
Molecule: long non-coding RNA, 746 nt
Filed under: Glycine max (soybean)
Lineage: Eukaryota; Viridiplantae; Streptophyta; Magnoliopsida; Fabales; Fabaceae
Description: long non-coding RNA (GMAX_LNC000038)
Source: RNAcentral